This 77-nucleotide transfer RNA is filed under the name Candidatus Latescibacterota bacterium. Its description in RNAcentral is "tRNA-Pro". RNAcentral also lists the same sequence under 1 other name. The record is from RNAcentral. Lineage: Bacteria; Pseudomonadati; Candidatus Latescibacterota.
CGGGGCGUGGCGCAGUCAGGUAGCGCACUUGCAUGGGGGGCAAGUGGUCGGCCGUUCAAAUCGGCUCGCCCCGACCA